UGGGGAAUUUUGGACAAUGGGCGCAAGCCUGAUCCAGCAAUGCCGCGUGCAGGAUGAAGGCCUUUGGGUUGUAAACUGCUUUUGUACGGAGCGAAAAGGUCUGCCCUAAUACGGUGGGCUCAUGACGGUACCGUAAGAAUAAGCACCGGCUAACUACGUGCCAGCAGCCGCGGUAAUACGUAGGGUGCGAGCGUUAAUCGUAAUUACUGGGCGUAAAGCGUGCGCAGGCGGUUAUAUAAGACAGAUGUGAAAUCCCCGGGCUCAACCUGGGACCUGCAUUAGUGACUGUAUAGCUAGAGUACGGUAGAGGGGGAUGGAAUUCCGCGUGUAGCAGUGAAAUGCGUAGAUAUGCGGAGGAACACCGAUGGCGAAGGCAAUCCCCUGGACCUGUACUGACGCUCAUGCACGAAAGCGUGGGGAGCAAACA
This 427-nucleotide ribosomal RNA is filed under the name uncultured bacterium. Its description in RNAcentral is "bacterial SSU rRNA". It matches the Rfam family "Bacterial small subunit ribosomal RNA", at positions 355 to 774 of the family's 1533-position model. The record is from RNAcentral.